ACCUUAGGUUUCACCACCCUGAACGUGCCCGAUCUCGUCUGAUCUCGGAAGCUAAGCAGGGUCGGCCCUGGUUAGUACUUGGAUGGGAGAUCUUAGUCAUUCUUAUCAGUGUAAUAUGGAAUCUUAGAGUG
Molecule: ribosomal RNA, 131 nt
Organism: Mesocricetus auratus (golden hamster)
Lineage: Eukaryota; Metazoa; Chordata; Mammalia; Rodentia; Cricetidae
Source: Ensembl